AGCAGAGUGGCGCAGUGGAAGCGUGCUGGGCCCAUAACCCAGAGUUCCGUGUAUCGAAACCACGCUUUGCUA
RNAcentral lists this transfer RNA (72 nucleotides) under Caerostris darwini. RNAcentral's name for it is "tRNA-iMet". It matches the Rfam family "tRNA". Rfam says of the family: Transfer RNA (tRNA) molecules are approximately 80 nucleotides in length. The record is from RNAcentral. Lineage: Eukaryota; Metazoa; Arthropoda; Arachnida; Araneae; Araneidae.